UCUGCGGAUGGAGCAGCUGGCCGGGGCGCCGGGCUCCGGACCCGGGUGGGGGCUGGCUCUGCUGCCGAUUCUGCUGGU
This 78-nucleotide transfer RNA is filed under the name compost metagenome. Its description in RNAcentral is "tRNA-Arg". The record is from RNAcentral.